Molecule: transfer RNA, 75 nt
Filed under: Blautia producta
Lineage: Bacteria; Bacillati; Bacillota; Clostridia; Lachnospirales; Lachnospiraceae
Also listed under: 3 other names
Description: tRNA-Pro
Rfam family: tRNA
About the family: Transfer RNA (tRNA) molecules are approximately 80 nucleotides in length.
Source: RNAcentral
UGAGGUGUAGCCCAGUUUGGUUAAGGCGCACGGUUAGGGACCGUGAGAUCGCAGGUUCAAAUCCUGUCACCUCAA